AGCCGGCGUCCCGGGCUGCCUCGGUCUCCAUGGCAACGCGCGGCGCGCUGGGCUCCGGGGCCAGUGCACGAGCUGGGCCGCGCACCCCGGGACGACUCCGGGCCGGCCCUAAAAGAAAGGAUUUUCCUUAAGUCCGGGCGUUUGAAUCACGGGCGGUCAGCCCCCAGCUGGUCACCGAGAGGCCCGAUGCCGCCCUCGGAACCAGGCCCUGAGGUGGUCACAGCCUCCCCAGGCCACCCAGUCGUCCCUCCUUCCUGUGCAGUCAUGAAGUUAUUGGGAAACAACCUGCCGGCUCACCAGUUUUUUAAAAACCUGCACGCUGCACUCGCAGUACGUAGCCUACAGGGAUAUAGAAGGAAAGCAACUGGUUACGAAAAAGCGUUUCAGUCAGUAAAUGCUUAGCCCCGCCACCGUGGAGGAAGCGCGAAGCAGCUCGGUGGCCGCGCCUGGGCAGCCACCCAUCGUGACAGAAAACCCCAAGUGCGGUCAAGCCUUGAUUUACGUGCAGUUGCAUUCCUAGAAAAAUCCAGUGUUAGAAUCCUGGGAAAAGUGCUUUGGGUUCGUUUGGUGCUGUAGUUCGAUUCCAGCCGCAGGUCAUUGUAAGCGGGUUUCCCCACGCACGAACCUCCGUGCACGGGCCACCAUGGACAAAUACGAUGUGAUUAAGGCCAUCGGGGAAGGUGCCUUUGGGAAAGCAUACUUGGCUAAAGGGAAAUCAGACAGCAAACCAUGUGUCAUAAAGGAGAUCUAUUUUGGAAAGAUGCCCAUCCAAGAAAAGGAAGCUUCCAAGAAAGAAGUCAUUCUUCUGGCCAAGAUGAAGCAUCCCAGCAUCGUAACCUUCUUCGAUUCAUUUCAAGAAAAAGGUCGGCUGUUUAUUGUCAUGCAAUACUGUGAUGGAGGGGAUAUCAUGAGAAGGAUCAGCAGACAGCGGGGAGUGUUACUUAGUGAAGAUCAGGAGCGUGGCAGCCGCGGCGUCUGACCUGAGUCCUCUGCGCGGAGCAAGUGGCGGCGGCGCGGGCCUGGCGCCCGGCAGCGGGCGGACAGGUAGGUGGCGGCUGCCGGGCCCCAUACGGCCUGGGGCUGGGGAAGGGGGCCAUGAGCCCUCCCGGGAACUUCACCUGGGUCCUGCGCGGGCGGGUGGGGCGCGGGCUCCCCGCUCCGCCUCCGAGACACUUCCUGACCCCUGUGGCUUCCCGCGGGCCCCUGUCCUCGGCUCUGCGCCCAUGCUGGGCGACCCGCCUGGUGCCCCGGGUGUCUCGGGCUGGGUUAGAGACAGGGCCCCCGACAGCUGGGGCACCCCCCCAGAGCAGCCCGUCGGGUGCUGGGGGCUGUGCCCUGGUCUCCCCCGGGGGCUGCGCCCUGACUGCAAGGUGGCUGCACGGCGGCCGCUUGGGCGGGAGGGCGGCUGGGUAAAGCGGAGCCCCCAGCCAUGGCCAGGCCCCCGGACGAGAUGUCACCCCUAGCCCUGCCCCGCCCAUGCCUGGCCUGCCUGCCACGGCGAAGCGUGGAAACACCGUCGCAGAAGCUGGUCAGCAUGCAGGCCCCACAUCUCAGCUCCUUGCUAACGCGCCUCAGUGCUCGGGCCCCGCCCUACUGUGGGAGACCAGGCUGGAGCUUCUGGAGUUGCCCUGUGCCUGCCAGGCCACUGCAGGUACCUGGGGUGAGCCAGCAGGUGAUCUGGGCAGAGAAAGAGAGAGGUCGUCUGCACGCGGCUUCACUCCCCAGGGGACUGUAACCCCCAGGGCUGGGCUGCGCUGAAGCCAGGAACUCCAUGGGGGCUCCCAGGUGGGCGCGGGCCCUGGCACUUGGGCGGUCUUCCACUGCGUUCCAGGCCAUCAGCCGGGACUCCAUGUGGGCUGUGGCUUAACCCUGUCCCCAAGUAAAUCUUCCUUUUAAAAAUGCAGUGCCCUCCCACGCCCCCCCCCCCAGAGGCUGGGCUCCCUGCACCUUGCCCACCCCCUGUCCCCAGCUGCUCUGUGCCUACCUGAGCCCGCUGGCCAGGCUAGGUCCAGCGGCCCCGGCCGUCCACUCAGCACCACCGUGAGCUCCUGCUGCUGGCCCCGUCCCUACCCCGUCCCAGGUGUCCAGGCCGGUGAUGCCCUGGUCUCUGGCAGCCUUGCUACAACGCCAGCAACCCUCAUGGCAACCAGUUCAGGUCCCCGCUGCUCUACUUCCGAUCCUGCUCCCUGCUGGUGGGCUUGGGAAGGUGGUGGCGGACGGCCCAAGCAUGUGGCCCUGCCAUCCAUGGGGGAGACCCGGAUCGAGUUGUCCAGGCUCCUGGUGUCAGCUGCUGGGGAGUGAACAGCGUUUAGAAGAUCUUUCUCUGUCACCCCUCAUCCUCUCCUUGUAGCUCUGCCUUUAAGGAAAUAAAAAUUAGAGUUCAGUAAUGCUGUGGCACAGCGGGUAAAGCCCUGCCUGCAGUGCCGGCAGCCCAUGUGGGCGCCAGUUCCAGUCCUGGCUGCUCCACUUCUGAUCCAGCUCUCUGCUAUGGCCUGGGAAGGCUGUGGAAGAUGGCCCAAGUCCUUGGACCCCUGGACCCAUGUGGGAGACCCGGAGGAAGCUCCUGGGUCUUGGCUUCAGAUUGGCCCAGCUCUGGCCGUUGCAGUCAAUUGAGGAGCAAACCAGCAAAUGGAAGACCUCUUUCUCCCUCUCCCUUUCCCUUUCCCUGCUCCCCCGCCCCUGCCUCUCCUUUCUCUGUGUAACUCUGACUUUCAAACAAAUAAAUCUUAAAAAAAAAAUUCUUGGUAAAUUCAGACCAAAACAUGUUUGCAAUUGAACUUGAACUCUACCUUUUCUGAGCAAUGAGAUCUUCUUGAGAAAAGAUAGUCUUUUUGGACAGUCUUACUUAGGAUGCCGCUGAGAUAAAUCUUCCUGGCUUAAAAAGCAUCUGACUGUGGAUGCUCCUUAGCUAUUUGAAAUGUGACAUAUUUAUAGCUUCACUCUUUCCUUUUAUCAUUUGGCAUUCUGUUUUAAAAUAGCUAUCCUACUCUGCUAGGGAAGACGGAAGAUCUUAGCAAUGUCUAUUUAGUAUAUCUUGAUAAAGACAGAAUUUUCUUGGUUUUUUUUUAGUUUUUAAAUUUUUUAAAAUAUACAAAUUUCAUGUAUUUCAUAUAUAUAGAUUCAGGAAUAGAGUGCUACUUCCCACCCUACGCUCCCUCCCACCCAUGCUCCCAUACUGCUUUCUCCACCCUCUCCUAUUCCCACUCUUGAUUUUUACGAAGAUCUAUUUUCAGCUUAAUUUAUACUCACAAGAUUAACUCUCCACUAAGUAAAGAAUUCAACAAGUAGUAUGAAGAAAAAAACUGAAGAAAAAAUUAAAUGGGGUGGUGUGGGGAGCAACUCGGACUAGACUAAGUUACUGCCAUUAAGACUUAUUCUAUGCAUCUGCUCUCCCACAAUAUGGCGCUGGGAGAGGAGUAAACAACUUCUACACAGCUGCCUCUCGCCUAUUUGACUGAGCUGCAGGAGCUGAUCUUGCUCCUGAUUGGAGGAGAGCAGCGUACUCGGCGUGUGGGUAGCAGAGUUGGGAUUGGUGGAAGAGGACUAUAAAGGAGGAGAGAGACAACAUGCACCAGGAACAUCUAAAAGGAACAUCCGGAUAACAUCUGAGCAGCCCCCGAGAGAGCCGGCCGGCAGUGUGCCGCUCCCCCGCGGAAGUGGGGAAAGUGGCAGGGGGAACCGCCCCUCCACAGAGGUGGAGGGGUUGCCAGCCAACCCAGGAAGGGCCAAGCAGCAGAAAGAACAGCGCAGGGUCCUGUGUCGUUCCUCUGUGAAUGGGGGAGCGACAGGGUGGUGCAUACCAUGUUUUGGAAAUGAUCACUAUAAAAGACAAUUGGAAUAUUGAAUGAGUACAAGGAUUCUUCACUAAAUAUAGUAAUUCAAAUUUGAAACAUAUUUGAACCAGUAAUUCAAAUUACAUGAUUCCUUUUUUCAAUAAUUAAGGAAUAUAUCUUUUUCUUUUGUCUGUGUUUUUCAAAUUCUCAAAUGGGUAUGUGUAUUUUAUAACUCAAGUGUGUUUUCUUCACUUAUAAUCAAAUGAAUUAUCAAUAUAUUUUUGGUGAAUUUAUCUGAUCAUCCAUUAUUAAUAAAACUUGCUUUUGUUAUUUGACUAGAUGAUAUCAUUUAAAGUCUGAUAUGAUUUUGAUAUGCUUUAUCCCCAUCAAGACUCAUGCAGAAAUUCGAUUCCCAAUGUAGUGGCAAUGGGAAGUGGGGACCUUGAAUUUUGACUAGGUUGUUAAGGCUGAACCACCAAGAAUGGAUUGAUAGAGUCAUUAGAUUUCUCACUCUUAACAGAACUAAAUUAGUUACUGCACUGCAAAUUGCUAUGAAGGAAGCCUGGUGCCUUCCCUCACUCUCUUGAAUAUUUGCUCCUCCUGCACACAUCUAUUUGUUCUUCUAAUUUCUACCAGGAUUUAAAGCAGCAUUUGACCCUCACCAGAUGUGGCUGCCUAAUUUUAGAUUUUCAUAUCUUCAGUACCCUAAACCAAAAUAAAAAUCUUCUCUUUAUAAAUUACCCAGUCUCAUACAUUCUAUUGCAACAUCAUAAAAUGGAUUAAGAUGCUCUUACACAGAUGUAUGCCCAUUACUUAUCAAAAAUUAAUACAAUAUCUUUACCUUUCAGUUCUCUUUGGUUUUCAUAAAAUUAACUCUUACCAGUCAAAUGCAUAUCUGUGUUAGAAAUAUGGAGCUAAUUAAAAUUAUAGAGACAAUGAAAUGCCAAGCUGACCCUGUCAUUAUUAUUUGUCAUACCAGAAACAAAAUGAAUAGAAUGAUUUAUAAUAUGUGAUUUGAUAAACCAUACAUGCUUGCAUAUAUAAAUAUCUCUUAUGAAAAUAUAUGAAAUAUGAUUUGAGUUGUAGAAUCAUUAAAGCUAAAGACAGAUACAAACACCAUUGCAUUUUCUAUAUUGCCCUACUUUCUAAUAAAUUGAAAAUGUUUUCUUUUUAAAAACCACAAUUAACCAUGUGCCUUUUUUUCCCAAGAUAAUGCAGAAAACCUGUAUUGUGUUUAUCAUUGCCAAUUUCUCUAAUAAA
Oryctolagus cuniculus (rabbit) is the source of this 5033-nucleotide non-coding RNA. The record is from RefSeq and is a predicted model, not a curated record. NCBI's taxonomy places the organism in Eukaryota, Metazoa, Chordata, Mammalia, Lagomorpha, Leporidae.